UGCCGGCGGCUCCCACAGGAUGGCAUUCGCACGCUGCGGGGACAGAGAUAGGGGCUAAGAGUCCAUCAGCCGCUUGGAAUGCUGGGAUAUGAAGGUCACCCCAUCCCUCCCUGAAGCACCACCCCCCCAGCUGGUUCCUGUUGGGCCUAUGGUAGUGGCGAUCCACAGGGCAGCCACAGUCCACUGAAUUGAGGUGAAGUUGUCCAUUCGGGCGCUUUGAGGCGCACAUCACACUGAGAGUCGGCUAUCUGUGGUCUCUGUGGGCUCUGGCUACUGAUAUCAUCCCGGGGGCCCAGGAAUCUGGAGAGCGAGCACUGAGAUGGCCAGCCUGCAACCCCCAACCCAAGGUCCGUAUCUUCAGAUAGACUCUGAUCUUCUAAAGAACUAGUAACUCAGCCCUUGGAAAUGAGUUCUGCUGGCAGACUUCUUGGCAAAAGGAGGUUGGGAUGAAGAGUGUAGGAGGCACAUUUUAAAGUCCACUGUUUGUAGGAAGAAUUUUUCACAGUCAAACAUUUACCAUAAAGGGGACUUGAACUUUUCUUCUCCAUUAGAUUGUUGUUAUUUUUUCUAUCAGAAGAAAAAUCAUGGUUUUUGGGAAAAAAAACAUCCAAGGUUAAAAGUAUCUAAGCUGUCCAAUGUUUUGUUUUAUAAUUAGGUCCCUGUUGACCAUCAGUAAUGUCUGACGUUAAUUUGAAUAAAAGAGACCCUUCAUUUGGGAAUAAUAUGCAGAUUAUG
Non-coding RNA from Paramormyrops kingsleyae, 735 nucleotides. Lineage: Eukaryota; Metazoa; Chordata; Actinopteri; Osteoglossiformes; Mormyridae. The record is from RefSeq and is a predicted model, not a curated record.